UUUUUCNNUCAGGACGAACGCUGGCGGCAUGCCUAAUACAUGCAAGUCGAGCGGACUUGANGAGAAGCUUGCUUCUCUGAUGGUUAGCGGCGGACGGGUGAGUAACACGUAGGCAACCUGCCCUCAAGUUUGGGACAACUACCGGAAACGGUAGCUAAUACCGAAUAGUUGUUUUCUUCGCCUGAAGGAAACUGGAAAGACGGAGCAAUCUGUCACUUGGGGAUGGGCCUGCGGCGCAUUAGCUAGUUGGUGGGGUAACGGCUCACCAAGGCGACGAUGCGUAGCCGACCUGAGAGGGUGAUCGGCCACACUGGGACUGAGACACGGCCCAGACUCCUACGGGAGGCAGCAGUAGGGAAUCUUCCGCAAUGGGCGAAAGCCUGACGGAGCAAUGCCGCGUGAGUGAUGAAGGUUUUCGGAUCGUAAAGCUCUGUUGCCAGGGAAGAACGCUUGGGAGAGUAACUGCUCUCAAGGUGACGGUACC
Molecule: ribosomal RNA, 484 nt
Filed under: soil bacterium 4V-07
Lineage: Bacteria
Description: bacterial SSU rRNA
Rfam family: Bacterial small subunit ribosomal RNA
Source: RNAcentral